GAUGAACGCUGGCGGCGCGCCUAACACAUGCAAGUCGAACGAUUAAAGCACCUUCGGGUGUGUAUAAAGUGGCGAACGGCUGAGUAACACGUGGGCAACCUGCCCCUUUCAUUGGGAUAGCCACGGGAAACCGUGGAUAAUACCGAAUACUUCGAGACUUCCGCAUGGAAGACUCGAGAAAGCUCCGGCGGCGAGGGAUGGGCCCGCGGCCUGUUAGCUUGUUGGUGGGGUAACGGCCUACCAAGGCAAUGAUGGGUAGCUGGGUUGAGAGACCGACCAGCCAGAUUGGGACUGAGACACGGCCCAGACUCCUACGGGAGGCAGCAGUGGGGAAUCUUGCACAAUGGGCGAAAGCCUGAUGCAGCGACGCCGCGUGCGGGAUGAAGGCCUUCGGGUUGUAACCCGCUUUCAGCAGGGACGAGGCGAAAGUGACGGUACCUGCAGAAGAAGCCCCGGCUAACUACGUG
RNAcentral lists this ribosomal RNA (467 nucleotides) under uncultured bacterium. Its description in RNAcentral is "partial 16S ribosomal RNA". It matches the Rfam family "Bacterial small subunit ribosomal RNA", at positions 28 to 507 of the family's 1533-position model. The record is from RNAcentral.